GAAGAAAGGAGGCUCUGCAGGGACUACCAUCAGAAGGAUUUUGGUCCCAAUCACACAGAAUGAAACUGUUGAAAAGAGGAGGGAGUGCAUCCUCAGGGCGCUUUGUAUCUACCUCAACGAAGACCCGAACAUCCUCUUCAAAGAAUACCUGGAUACUGCUGGCACCGCUGCACAGAGGGAGCUUGAGCAACUUACCCUUGGC
Entelurus aequoreus (snake pipefish) is the source of this 202-nucleotide long non-coding RNA. RefSeq lists it as uncharacterized. Lineage: Eukaryota; Metazoa; Chordata; Actinopteri; Syngnathiformes; Syngnathidae. The record is from RefSeq and is a predicted model, not a curated record. The transcript is spliced from 3 exons.